UCUCCGUUGGUGAACCAGCGGAGGGAUCAUUAUAGAGUUCUAAAAAACUCCCAAACCCAUGUGGAACAUACCUCUCGUUGCCUCGGCAGGUCGCUCCUACCCGGUAAACCCUACCCUGUAGGGCCUACCCUGUGGUCGCGGACAAGCCUGCCGGCGGACCAACAAACUCUGUUUACUAUUGAACUUCUGAUUUUAUAAACUCAAUGAGUUAAAACUUUCAACAACGGAUCUCUUGGUUCUGGCAUCGAUGAAGAACGCAGCGAAAUGCGAUAAGUAAUGUGAAUUGCAGAAUUCAGUGAAUCAUCGAAUCUUUGAACGCACAUUGCGCCCGCCAGCAUUCUGGCGGGCAUGCCUGUUCGAGCGUCAUUUCAACCCUUAAGCCCCUGUUGCUUAGCGUUGGGAGCCUACGGCCACGCGCCGUAGCCCCCUAAAGUUAGUGGGCGGAGUCGGUCUCACCCUCCGGACGUAGUAAUAUCUCUCUCGUCUGUAGGUAGGCCGGUCUCCCGCCGUAAAACCCCUAUAAUCUCAAGGUUGACCUCGAAUCAGGUAGGAAUACCCGCUGAACUUAA
RNAcentral lists this ribosomal RNA (569 nucleotides) under Xylaria sp. RNAcentral describes it as "eukaryotic LSU rRNA". The stretch from base 213 to 366 matches the Rfam family "5.8S ribosomal RNA". Lineage: Eukaryota; Fungi; Ascomycota; Sordariomycetes; Xylariales; Xylariaceae. The record is from RNAcentral.